GACGUAGGAGACGAACGUUAUCCGGAGUUACUGGGCGUAAAGGGCGUGCAGGCGGUCUGAUAAGUUCGGCGUGAAAUAUUCCGGCUUAACCGGGAUAGGUCGUCGGAGACUCUCGGACUAGAGGGUGAUAGAGGCGUGUGGAAUUCCGGGUGUAGUGGUGAAAUGCGUAGAGAUCCGGAGGAACACCAGUGGCGAAGGCGACACGCUGGGUCACACCUGACGCUAAAGCGCGACAGCAUGGGGAGCGAACGGG
This 253-nucleotide ribosomal RNA is filed under the name uncultured bacterium. RNAcentral's name for it is "partial 16S ribosomal RNA". It matches the Rfam family "Bacterial small subunit ribosomal RNA", at positions 524 to 776 of the family's 1533-position model. The record is from RNAcentral.